AUAUUGGACAAUGGGCGCAAGCCUGAUCCAGCAAUGCCGCGUGGGUGAAGAAGGCCUUCGGGUUGUAAAGCCCUUUUGUACGGGAAGAAAUCUCGUGGGUUAAUACCUUGCGAGGAUGACGGUACCGUAAGAAUAAGCACCGGCUAACUUCGUGCCAGCAGCCGCGGUAAUACGAAGGGUGCAAGCGUUAAUCGGAAUCACUGGGCUUAAAGGGUGCGCAGGCGGGCCUGCAGGCGUCUUGUGAAAUCCCCCGGCUCAACCGGGGAAUUGCAGGGCGAACCGCAGGUCUUGAGGAAGGCAGAGGCGGGUGGAACCAUAGGUGGAGCGGUGGAAUGCGUAGAGAUCUAUGGGAACGCCGAAGGUGAAGACAGCCCGCUGGGCCUUUCCUGACGCUCAGGCACGAAAGCGUGGGGAGCAAACAGG
RNAcentral lists this ribosomal RNA (423 nucleotides) under uncultured bacterium. RNAcentral's name for it is "bacterial SSU rRNA". It matches the Rfam family "Bacterial small subunit ribosomal RNA", at positions 361 to 776 of the family's 1533-position model. The record is from RNAcentral.